UCCCAGACUCCUACGGGAGGCAGCAGUGAGGAAUAUUGGUCAAUGGGCGCGAGCCUGAACCAGCCAAGUCGCGUGAGGGAUGACGGCCCUACGGGUUGUAAACCUCUUUUGUCGGGGAGCAAAUUCCGCCACGUGUGGCGGAGUCGAGAGUACCCGAAGAAAAAGCAUCGGCUAACUCCGUGCCAGCAGCCGCGGUAAUACGGAGGAUGCGAGCGUUAUCCGGAUUUAUUGGGUUUAAAGGGUGCGCAGGCGGAUUUUUAAGUCAGCGGUCAAAUCGUGGGGCUCAACCCCAUCCAGCCGUUGAAACUGGGGAUCUAGAGUGUGCGAGAGGUAUGCGGAAUGCGUGGUGUAGCGGUGAAAUGCAUAGAUAUCACGCAGAACCCCGAUUGCGAAGGCAGCAUACCGGCGCGCAACUGACGCUCAUGCACGAAAGCGUGGGUAUCGAACAGGAUUAGAUACCCGAGUAUA
This 468-nucleotide ribosomal RNA is filed under the name uncultured bacterium. Its description in RNAcentral is "bacterial SSU rRNA". It matches the Rfam family "Bacterial small subunit ribosomal RNA", at positions 329 to 794 of the family's 1533-position model. The record is from RNAcentral.